Molecule: long non-coding RNA, 822 nt
Filed under: Lotus japonicus
Lineage: Eukaryota; Viridiplantae; Streptophyta; Magnoliopsida; Fabales; Fabaceae
Description: long non-coding RNA (LJAP_LNC001565)
Source: RNAcentral
CGAAUAUUAAGCUUAAAGAAAAUCAUUUCUAUCUGAAUCUCCAUCCGCCGCAUUUGAAUCAGAGGUGCGACAGGUGUAAACUCUUAUAUGAUAUAGGAAUUUGGGUUUGGAUUUAAGAUUGCGUUUUCAUUCAAAUUAAAAUUAAAAUUAAAACUAAAGAUUAAACUGAAAUCUAAAAUUAUAAUUAGAAACUGUUUUUUUCUGUGAAAUAUGGAUUAAAAAACUAAUUUCUUUUAAUUGAUGCCUAUAAUUCUUCCCUUCUCUCGAAAUUCGUAGCUCUAAAUCCAUAAUUAAGCCUGUUAAUUAGUACCAAGAUCACAAACAUCAUUUAACAGUAGUUGUGUAUUUUGGUAAAAAGAAUAUACAGUGAGUAGAGUACUGAACCCAGAAGCAAUAACACAAGUAGUAUCAACAUAUAAUGCUUACAUAGGAAGCAGGUAGAUUUGGAAGCAUAAGAACCUUAAAAUGAGUUGGUUCUGGCAAAAAAGGAAAAGAAAGCAUAAGAACGUUGAGACAUACACAUACAAGUAGUGUUUGUUUCAAACUUGGAGUGUUCUGGUUUUUUAAUUAUAAUCUUGGCAGGGCACGAGGCUGAACGCGAGGAGCGUCCCAGUCUGUGGCAAUGUGGUCACGGGUGAUUUCCUUGAGUGAGCGGCACCCACUUAAGGCCAUGGUUAGCUCAAACUCGUCGCGGAGCAUCUGCAGCACUUUUCUCACACCAGUCUCUCCUUCAGCAGCCAAGGCAUACACCACAGGGCGUCCAAUCUGACAUACACCAAAAUUUGUUACGAGCAAUUCUAUGGUGGACCAAGUUAAAAACAG